This 274-nucleotide unclassified non-coding RNA is filed under the name Dactylaria sp. RNAcentral describes it as "partial contains 5.8S ribosomal RNA, internal transcribed spacer 2, and large subunit ribosomal RNA". The stretch from base 1 to 52 matches the Rfam family "5.8S ribosomal RNA", at positions 103 to 154 of the family's 154-position model. RNAcentral also lists the same sequence under 1 other name. The record is from RNAcentral. Lineage: Eukaryota; Fungi; Ascomycota; Leotiomycetes; Helotiales.
AACGCACAUUGCGCCCUUUGGUAUUCCGAAGGGCAUGCCUGUUCGAGCGUCAUUAUCACCCCUCAAGCCCCGUGCUUGGUGUUGGACGGGGUCGAGGGCUCACGCCCCGACCCCCCCUAACGAAAAUGACGGCGACCUGUGGUUCCCCCGGUACACUGAGCUUCUCACCGAGCACGUACCGGACAAGGGCGCCUAGGACCCGGUCAUCUCCUCUCACGAGGAAACAUUUUAUAAGGUUGACCUCGGAUCAGGUAGGAAUACGCGCUGAACUUAA